CUUUUUUUUCUCUCUCUUUUGUUCUCUCUUUAUUGCACAAAAGUUUAGAGAAAUCGAAACUAGAAUGGCUUCAAAACUUCUACGGCGAUUUUUAAAUUUUUUCAGAUGUGGAAAAAAAGUGAAAUCAUCAUUUGAAGAAAUCAAUUAUAAUCCUACUAAAAACCUUGAGAAACCUCCAAAACAGAAGAGCUCAGCAAUUGAAGUGAUUGAUCA
Molecule: long non-coding RNA, 213 nt
Organism: Xenopus tropicalis (tropical clawed frog)
Lineage: Eukaryota; Metazoa; Chordata; Amphibia; Anura; Pipidae
Exons: 4
Source: RefSeq, a predicted model, not a curated record